AGUGAACGCUGGCGGUAGGCCUAACACAUGCAAGUCGAACGGCAGCACAGUAAGAGCUUGCUCUUACGGGUGGCGAGUGGCGGACGGGUGAGGAAUACAUCGGAAUCUACUUUUUCGUGGGGGAUAACGUAGGGAAACUUACGCUAAUACCGCAUACGACCUACGGGUGAAAGCAGGGGAUCUUCGGACCUUGCGCGAUUGAAUGAGCCGAUGUCGGAUUAACUAGUUGGCGGGGUAAAGGCCCACCAAGGCGACGAUCCGUAGCUGGUCUGAGAGGAUGAUCAGCCACACUGGAACUGAGACACGGUCCAGACUCCUACGGGAGGCAGCAGUGGGGAAUAUUGGACAAUGGGCGCAAGCCUGAUCCAGCCAUACCGCGUGGGUGAAGAAGGCCUUCGGGUUGUAAAGCCCUUUUGUUGGGAAAGAAAGGCAGCAGGUUAAUACCCCGCUGUUCUGACGGUACCCAAAGAAUAAGCACCGGCUAACUUCGUG
This 492-nucleotide ribosomal RNA is filed under the name uncultured bacterium. Its description in RNAcentral is "partial 16S ribosomal RNA". It matches the Rfam family "Bacterial small subunit ribosomal RNA", at positions 29 to 507 of the family's 1533-position model. The record is from RNAcentral.